Molecule: RNA transcript, 772 nt
Organism: Sapajus apella (tufted capuchin)
Lineage: Eukaryota; Metazoa; Chordata; Mammalia; Primates; Cebidae
Gene name: zinc finger CCCH domain-containing protein 15 pseudogene
Exons: 1
Source: RefSeq, a predicted model, not a curated record
CUUUCCGUGCGGUGCGUCUAGUGAGGCUCCGGUCCUCCUCCUCCUGCCGCAGGGCCAAAACCCCUGACAGUAUACAGCUGCGCUUAAGCCUGGCCAGUGUCAUCUGUGUCCACAAUGCCCCCCAAGAAACAGGCUCAGGCCGGGGGCAGCAAAAAAGCAGAGCAGAAAAAGAAGGAGAAGAUUAUUGAAGACAAAACUUUUGGUUUGAAGAAUAAGAAAGGAGCAAAGCAGCAGAAAUUUAUCAAGGCUGUUACACAUCAGGUUAAAUUUGGUCAACAAAAUCCACAUCAGGUAGCACAGAGUGAAGCUGAAAAGAAAUUGAAGAAGGAUGACAAGAAGAAAGAAUUGCAGGAGCUAAAUGAACUGUUCAAACCUGUAGCUGCUGCUCAAAAAAUAAGUAAAGGUGCAGAUCCCAAGUCUGUGGUAUGUGCAUUCUUCAAGCAAGGACAGUGUACUAAAGGAGAUAGGUGUAAGUUCUCUCAUGACUUGACUCUGGAGAGAAAAUGUGAAAAGUGAAGUGUUUACAUUGAUGCAAGAGAUGAAGAACUUGAAAAAGAUACUAUGGAUAAUUGGGAUGAGAAAAAGCUGGAAGAAGUAGUGAACAAGAAGCACGGUGAGGCGGAAAAGAAAAAACCGAAAACUCAAACAGUGUGCAAGCAUUUCCUUGAAGCUAUUAAAAACAACAAGUAUGGCUGGUUUUGGGUAUGCCCUGGCGGGGGUGAUAUUUGCAUGUAUCGUCAUGCUCUUCCUCCUGGAUUUGUGUUGAAAAAAG